UACGUAGGGAGCAAGCGUUGUCCGGAUUCACUGGGUGUAAAGCGUGCGCAGGCGGUUUUGUAAGCCAGAUGUGAAAUCCCCGGGCUCAACCUGGGAAUGGCAUUUGGGACUGCAAGGCUCGAGUGCGGCAGAGGAGACUGGAAUUCCUGGUGUAGCAGUGAAAUGCGUAGAUAUCAGGAGGAAUACCGAUGGCGAAGGCAGGUCUCUGGGCUGACACUGACGCUCAUGCACGAAAGCGUGGGGAGCAAACAGG
Molecule: ribosomal RNA, 253 nt
Filed under: uncultured bacterium
Lineage: Bacteria
Description: partial 16S ribosomal RNA
Rfam family: Bacterial small subunit ribosomal RNA
Source: RNAcentral